This 253-nucleotide ribosomal RNA is filed under the name uncultured bacterium. Its description in RNAcentral is "partial 16S ribosomal RNA". It matches the Rfam family "Bacterial small subunit ribosomal RNA", at positions 524 to 776 of the family's 1533-position model. The record is from RNAcentral.
UACGUAGGGGGCAAGCGUUGUCCGGAUUUAUUGGGCGUAAAGAGCGUGUAGGCGGCCAAGCAGGUCCGCUGUGAAAACUCGAGGCUCAACCUCGAGAGGUCGGUGGAAACCGUUUGGCUAGAGUCCGGAAGAGGAGAGUGGAAUUCCCGGUGUAGCGGUGAAAUGCGCAGAUAUCGGGAGGAACACCAGCGGCGAAGGCGGCACUCUGGGCUGGAACUGACGCUGAGGAGCGAAAGCGUGGGUAGCAAACAGG